GACGAACCGAGCGAACGUUGUUCGGAAUCACUGGGCUUAAAGGGCGCGUAGGCGGGCUGUCAAGUCUGGGGUGAAAUCCCACGGCUCAACCGUGGAACUGCCUUAGAUACUGACGGCCUCGAGGGAGAUAGGGGCGAGCGGAACUGUGAGUGGAGCGGUGAAAUGCGUUGAUAUUCACAGGAACUCCGGUGGCGAAGGCGGCUCGCUGGAUCUUUUCCGACGCUGAGACACGAAAGCCAGGGGAGCAAACGGG
Molecule: ribosomal RNA, 253 nt
Filed under: uncultured bacterium
Lineage: Bacteria
Description: partial 16S ribosomal RNA
Rfam family: Bacterial small subunit ribosomal RNA
Source: RNAcentral